GGCAUCAUGAGAUUGUACUUGAUGGAUGUAACAUGAGAUUGUACUUGAUGGAUGUAAUGAUCCGAUUCCGACCUGCUAGCAAUAAUAACUCGUUGGUCCCAAUCACUUGUCCAAAAUGUUUAAAUUCAGUUAUUAUGACUAGUCUAGUCAAGCUUAUAUAUAAGCUCACAUCUAGCCAUAACUAUAUAUAUAUACCCCACAUCUAGCCAUAACUAUCCAAUGUAGGACUAUUAGGGUGACUAGUCUGAUGUGUGAUUAUUAGGGUGACACGAGUCCGAUGUGGGAUUAUUAGGAUGACGUUACACAUAUACAGUUCCAACCCUAACUUAGCCUGUCAUUCACCGAUCCUGGCUCAAUCUGUCAUUCUGUCCCUGGCUAAGCCAAGACUCAUCUCACACUUUCGGGUGGUGAACUGAUUCUGAUACCAAAUGUAACUACUCGACCCGCUAGCAAUAAUAAUUCGUUGGACCUAAUCACCGGCCAAAAAUGCUUAAAUCCAAUUAUUAUGUCCAGUCUAGUCAAACUUAUAUACCCCCACAUCUAACUAUAACUAUUCGAUGUGGGAUUAUUAGGGUAUCACAAUGGAAUGGACAGACAAAUUGGAAAAAUGAUUACGCAUAUAAGUGAAAAAAUAGGCAAAAAGUAAACAAGAAUAUGAUUAACCCUAAUAGCUAAUGAUCUGAUUGUUGCAUAAAACAUAGGCAAUGCUAGGUUUAUAACCAAAAAGUGUUGUAAUAAUCUUUAAAACACCUCAUCCAAGGAUUGUAGGGUUUACCAACUCCUUAUUAUAGUCUUUACUUAAAAGGAAAAAAAAUGAUAAGGCAAGUAAAGAAAAGUAGGCUUGGAUGAAAAUAGUUGAAGGAAUAGAAUCUAAGGUAGGUUACAGACAUAGUACUCAUGUAAAAAAAAUAAAAAUAAAAAUGUAUAGAAAUUAUCUGAAAUUGUAGACGAUUUUGCACCGACUACCAACCUUUCAAAUUAUUUAAUUUGAGACAGUGCAUGAUAAUUUGACUUUAAAAUUUAAGAUAAUUACUUAUUUUAAUCAAUUAGUUGCGAAGAUUAAAUGAAACUUGCUAACCAAAUUUGUAAAGGUAAAUAAUAUAUUCAAAUUUUAAAGUCAAAAUAUUAUUGACUGACUCAAAUCCUCAUGCCCUCGCCCUCAUCCGCACACCCCCGCCUUCCUUGCCUCCGACCCCGCCUAGGCCGCGCCGCGACUCAUUUUUUUUUUAUAUUUUCCCUCUCCGACCCUCGAUGGCUCUUGUGAGACAAUCUAAGUUACUUAUUUUCUUAUAUGAUUAUUUGUGCUCUUCUUAACAUUUAAAAUUUGAUUCAGUUUUACUUAUUUGUGUGGAUUAAUUUUAUGAUCAAAUACUUUAUAGAGAUUCAACUAGAUUUAAUAUAUAUUGGUUCUAAGGUGUUUGAGCCAUAGUGCUUGGGUUUAAUUUGGUUUUGAGAGAAUUAAAUUGAAAUUAAAGGUUAAAAUUUAAGAAUGAGAGUAAUUGAAAUUUUUAUACUAAAUCAAUAAUAUCUAUUACUACCAAUUAUUUUUUAAAAAAAAU
This 1559-nucleotide long non-coding RNA is filed under the name Ananas comosus (pineapple). RNAcentral describes it as "long non-coding RNA (ACOM_LNC016821)". Lineage: Eukaryota; Viridiplantae; Streptophyta; Magnoliopsida; Poales; Bromeliaceae. The record is from RNAcentral.